This 648-nucleotide ribosomal RNA is filed under the name bacterium SCSIO13002. Its description in RNAcentral is "bacterial SSU rRNA". It matches the Rfam family "Bacterial small subunit ribosomal RNA", at positions 56 to 702 of the family's 1533-position model. The record is from RNAcentral.
UGCAGUCGAACGGUAACAGUUUUUGCUUGCUAGAAGAUGACGAGUGGCGGACGGGUGAGUAAUGCUUGGGAACUUGCCUUUGCGAGGGGGAUAACAGUUGGAAACGACUGCUAAUACCGCAUAAUGUCUUCGGACCAAACGGGGCUUCGGCUCCGGCGCAAAGAGAGGCCCAAGUGAGAUUAGCUAGUUGGUAAGGUAACGGCUUACCAAGGCGACGAUCUCUAGCUGUUCUGAGAGGAAGAUCAGCCACACUGGGACUGAGACACGGCCCAGACUCCUACGGGAGGCAGCAGUGGGGAAUAUUGCACAAUGGGGGAAACCCUGAUGCAGCCAUGCCGCGUGUGUGAAGAAGGCCUUCGGGUUGUAAAGCACUUUCAGUUGUGAGGAAAAGUUAGUAGUUAAUACCUGCUAACCGUGACGUUAACAACAGAAGAAGCACCGGCUAACUCCGUGCCAGCAGCCGCGGUAAUACGGAGGGUGCGAGCGUUAAUCGGAAUUACUGGGCGUAAAGCGCACGCAGGCGGUUUGUUAAGCUAGAUGUGAAAGCCCCGGGCUCAACCUGGGAUGGUCAUUUAGAACUGGCAGACUAGAGUCUUGGAGAGGGGAGUGGAAUUCCAGGUGUAGCGGUGAAAUGCGUAGAUAUCUGGA